RNAcentral lists this ribosomal RNA (465 nucleotides) under uncultured bacterium. Its description in RNAcentral is "partial 16S ribosomal RNA". It matches the Rfam family "Bacterial small subunit ribosomal RNA", at positions 28 to 507 of the family's 1533-position model. The record is from RNAcentral.
GAUGAACGCUGGCGGCGUGCUUAACACAUGCAAGUCGAACGGAAAGGCUCCUGCUUGCAGGGGUACUCGAGUGGCGAACGGGUGAGUAACACGUGGGUGAUCUGCCCUGCACUUCGGGAUAAGCCUGGGGAACUGGGUCUAAUACCGGAUAGGACCACAUUUUGGAUGGUGUGGUGGAAAGUUUUUCGGUGUUGGAUGAGCUCGCGGCCUAUCAGCUUGUUGGUGGGGUAAUGGCCUACCAAGGCGUCGACGGGUAGCCGGCCUGAGAGGGUGUACGGCCACAAUGGGACUAAGAUACGGCCCAGACGCCAACGGGAGGCAGCAGGGGGGAAUAUUACACAACGGGCGCAAGCCUGAUGCAGCGACGCCGCGUGGGGGAUGACGGCCUUCGGGUUGUAAACUCCUUUCGCUAGGGACGAAGCGCAAGUGACGGUACCUGGAGAAGAAGCACCGGCUAACUACGUG